RNAcentral lists this ribosomal RNA (465 nucleotides) under Vreelandella stevensii. RNAcentral's name for it is "partial 16S ribosomal RNA". It matches the Rfam family "Bacterial small subunit ribosomal RNA", at positions 338 to 795 of the family's 1533-position model. The record is from RNAcentral. Lineage: Bacteria; Pseudomonadati; Pseudomonadota; Gammaproteobacteria; Oceanospirillales; Halomonadaceae.
CCUACGGGAGGCUGCAGUGGGGAAUAUUGGACAAUGGGCGAAAGCCUGAUCCAGCCAUGCCGCGUGUGUGAAGAAGGCCUUCGGGUUGUAAAGCACUUUCAGUGGGGAAGAAAGCCUUGGGGCUAAUACCCUCGAGGAAGGACAUCACCCACAGAAGAAGCACCGGCUAACUCCGUGCCAGCAGCCGCGGUAAUACGGAGGGUGCGAGCGUUAAUCGGAAUUACUGGGCGUAAAGCGCGCGUAGGCGGUCUGAUAAGCCGGUUGUGAAAGCCCCGGGCUCAACCUGGGAACGGCAUCCGGAACUGUCAGGCUAGAGUGCAGGAGAGGAAGGUAGAAUUCCCGGUGUAGCGGUGAAAUGCGUAGAGAUCGGGAGGAAUACCAGUGGCGAAGGCGGCCUUCUGGACUGACACUGACUCUGAGGUGCGAAAGCGUGGGUAGCAAACAGGAUUAGAUACCCCGGUAGUC